This 355-nucleotide ribosomal RNA is filed under the name uncultured bacterium. Its description in RNAcentral is "bacterial SSU rRNA". It matches the Rfam family "Bacterial small subunit ribosomal RNA", at positions 1 to 356 of the family's 1533-position model. The record is from RNAcentral.
UUCGAUUAAGUUUGAUCCUGGCUCAGGAUGAACGCUAGCGGCAGGCCUAAUACAUGCAAGUCGAGGGAGAAAUUAAAGCUUGCUUUGAUGGAAACCGGCGCACGGGUGCGUAACGCGUAUGCAACCUACCUAUUACUGGGGGAUAGCCCGGGGAAACUCGGAUUAAUACCCCAUAGUACCACCAGAUGGCAUCUGAAGGUGGUUAAAGUUCCGAUGGUAAUAGAUGGGCAUGCGUAAGAUUAGCUAGUUGGUGAGGUAACGGCUCACCAAGGCGACGAUCUUUAGGGGUUCUGAGAGGAUGAUCCCCCACACUGGCACUGAGAUACGGGCCAGACUCCUACGGGAGGCAGCAGUA